Molecule: ribosomal RNA, 429 nt
Filed under: Bacteroidota bacterium
Lineage: Bacteria; Pseudomonadati; Bacteroidota
Description: Bacteroidetes bacterium partial 16S ribosomal RNA
Rfam family: Bacterial small subunit ribosomal RNA
Source: RNAcentral
UAGGGAAUCUUCGGCAAUGGGGGGAACCCUGACCGAGCAACGCCGCGUGAGUGAAGAAGGUUUUCGGAUCGUAAAGCUCUGUUGUUAAGGAAGAACGAGUGUGAGAAUGGAAAGUUCAUACUGUGACGGUACUUAACCAGAAAGGGACGGCUAACUACGUGCCAGCAGCCGCGGUAAUACGUAGGUCCCGAGCGUUGUCCGGAUUUAUUGGGCGUAAAGCGAGCGCAGGCGGUUAGAUAAGUCUGAAGUUAAAGGCAGUGGCUCAACCAUUGUAGGCUUUGGAAACUGUUUAACUUGAGUGCAGAAGGGGAGAGUGGAAUUACAUGUGUAGCGGUGAAAUGAGUAGAUAUAUGGAGGAACACCGGUGGCGAAAGCGGCUCUCUGGUCUGUAACUGACGCUGAGGCUCGAAAGCGUGGGGAGCGAACAGG